Molecule: long non-coding RNA, 370 nt
Filed under: Capra hircus (goat)
Lineage: Eukaryota; Metazoa; Chordata; Mammalia; Artiodactyla; Bovidae
Description: lncRNA (ENSCHIG00000007282.1)
Source: RNAcentral
CCUAGGACAGGCAUCUGCACGGAUGCCCUCUGCUUCAACAGGGAAUUGCAAGCUCCCGCCUGCCUGUAAUAAGGGGGAAAAUCAGGGCAAUAAUGUGACCGGAUGCUGGAAAGCUGGCAGCCAGAGAAAACAGCUCUGGACAACCCCCGGCCCUCACUUGAAUUGUGGUGGUUACAGCAGAACACAGCCCAGUUGUAACUCAAGUCUUUCCUUUUGUAAGAGGAAGUGGUGAGAUAAAUAAAGGGAUGGUGUUUCCUUAAAGCAGCUGCAUCUCCUAUUAACUGGCUAAAGAACUAACUCCUCAACAAAAAUUAGUCAACUGAACUAGUUUAAGAAAGAAAAGAAAUCUUUGAGCUGGCGAAUUUGUGGC